GAUGGAGCAUCUGGUGUCAUCGUCUGCUAAAAUCAGCUGUUUCUGUUUAUAGGAAGUGGAGGAGGAGAUCACGCCGGGUGGAGGUGACGGAGGGCGAGGAUGAGGAGGUGUAAGCACAGCUCCAGUGUGGUGUUACAGGAUGGUGGGGCUGCGGCCCCCUGAACGACUGGAGGCAUGGGCACUUUCCGCCUGGCUGCAGGCUCUCAACACUGCCGCAGGGCGAGGGAAGGGGGUGAGCGCUCCCCUUAAGGCACCUCCUGCUCUGCUGUCAGUUGCUUUGAGUCAGGCAGCUGUAGGGUUGCGAGAAACGGUAGUGGCGCGCCUGGCGGUGGCGGCCGUCACGGCUGGAGUCAGUCGCCUUGAUGUUCAUCUAGAGCAUCCGACGUUGGUGCAGACCCUACUGGAGGCCCUGCACGCCCACCCCCAGCACCUCACCUCCCUCACGCUCACCCUGGGGCCUCGCACCUCGCUAGACGGUCUGCUGAGUGAGGCAAUGUGCUACAUGACCUGUCUCACCUCGCUUGUUAUAACUCCCGCCGCUACAGAUGCCCACUUGGCUGCCCUGGCUCAAGCCACUCCACCGCUCGGCACCCUGGACGUGUCCUACUGCUCAGCCGUCACUGACAAGGGCGUGCGCGCCCUGCUAGGCCUGACGGAUGAUGCGCGACCAGUACGGGAGGUGGUUCUUGGCGUGUUUAAGGGUACAGCCGAGGCUCCUGCUUCCAAUCUUCAUACUGUCAAUCUUUGGGGCACGGGUGUCACCACGCUAGGGUGUGUCCUGCUGCUGGCUACUUGUCCCGCCCUCACAUCUCUUACGUGUCGCUGGUCAGGUGAGGCUCUGGACUUGUCAGUAAGGGCUGGACGGGAGGCUCCUUUAAGCCUCACACAACUCAUUCUCGCCGAAUCUUCACUGCCACCGUUGGCCCCAGUGGCCGCCCUCUGCCCACACCUGAGCUCGCUGGUGGCACGGCGUCCCUCUGAUGCCCCAAACGUCGAGGAGGUGUUGAGUGAAGUACCUACCCUCACCUCCCUCACUCUGAUGCAGUUUUUGCCGCAGCAGGAGAAUUGGCUGCCCGCCUCCCGCGCGCCAUUCCUUACACACCUGCAUCUGUCUUUCCUGGAGCCACGCCCCGUCCACCUGGUUCGCCUUGCAGACACCUUCCCAUCCCUAACUCAUCUUUUUCUGGAUGGAGUGACGCCCACACUCCCCUACCCUCCUCCGCCCCCGCCCGUCUCCAAGAUAGAAAGCUUACGUUUGGUCACUCUGCCCAUCACGAAUCCUGACUUGGACGCAGAGGUGGUGGAGUGGGCGCUGGUGUGGGUGUCCGCCGCCUCUAGCAUUGACCUUGGCUCCUGCAGACUUCUAACUGACGAGCAUCUCACUCGAGCCAUCGCGGCAGGUGCUCUGACCCAGGCAGAGGACGUGCGUCUGUCAGGAGCGCGUCAGAUUACGGAUGGCGCUAUCAUGGACCUGCUGACGGCGUGCCCGCAUCUGCGUCGCCUCGCCCUCAAGAUGCUGCCCAAGGAGCGUCUGGCCGAGCUCGAGUCCCUCAAGGUGACACUCCGCAAGCAAAAUCUUGAUCUUGAGCUGAUCACUUACGGCUGGAAGUUUUGAACUCGGAGGGUACCGCGGAUCUCCAGCAGCAGCAGCAGCAGCAGAGUCAGUGUUCUUACUCUGUCCACGAGAAAGGUGGAGCAGAGACGGUCAGGGCUCCGAACAGAUGGCUUCGCACAAUCAUGUUCUAUAUCUUAAGAUUUUGCUAACGUUAUUCAACAUAUUUUUUUGUAUACUCUAUAUCUGUAUCUUUUUAAGGAGGUGCUGUUUGCAUAUUAAAGAAAAAAAUCUUCAGUGUGUGUGUGUGUUACACCAAGACGCAGAGGCCGAGCACAAGCAACGGGAUGGGAUAUUCAGUGCCCUGCAUCACCAUGUGUUCUCUGUGCAUCAACUCCAUCUCAAUUAUUGGUGACCGUAAUGAAGCUCCAGGCAACCUUGCAGGGAGGCCCGUGAUGGAAUCGAGACUGGCUCCUCCAUCUUCAGGUGCACCACUUCGAUUAUGGAGUAAGCCAGACCACACUACAGAACAUGGGUGAGCGUGUCGAAAGAAUUCCGUGAGAUAUACUCGAAUGAAAUUCCAAAAUUCAUAGGAAUGCGGAUUUUAUACGGUAGUAUCAGAUUUACCUAUACCCGAAAGUAAGCCUAGGGUUAUUCUUUUCCUUUCCAAAACUUUUUUUCUCUCAUUCUCCCUCUUGGAUCGAAUAUAUAACUGCAUUCUGAUUCCGUAUCUUAAUAUUUUUCGCCAGCCUCUAUUCCCUCUGACGAAGUGCAUAAGUUAUAACAGAACAGCCAAGGUAACAGCACACUUUCUUGAAUCAGCGUGGCGUGAUGAGACAUUGAACCGACACAGCGCUCCGGUUGGCCGUGUACGGUGGAUGGAAUCCUUAUCCAUGACCUGUGAUUAUUUCUUUCGUGUGCUGGAGUUUAUGGUUUGUUUCUUAUCAAGUCCUGCGCGUCAUUUGGGUGAGUAAAGUCGGCGUGGAAGUUUGAGGUAAGACAUAAGCUUCCUUGAAGGCUGUAAGGUUAGGAUGGCGUUGGUCGAGCCGGUGGGGUAGUGCUUUCAGGUACGGAACACCGAUGGAGAGGUGGCAGGGUAGUGUCUAUGGUGCAGUGGUGGUGUGGUAGGUACGUACAGUACAACCUGGGUGAUUGGGCAGAUUAUGACAGUUUGCACGUUUGUGGUUUUGGUAUGCAGCCUUAGAGCCUAAACUGGGAUUACUGUGGGUGGCAGGCAUGGCGGUGGCAUAAUCCAUGGUCAUGUUUGUGUUUCUGGCAUUAUGGAGUUUGGUGGUUGCUGUAACUUCUCUCCACAUUAGAGGUGUGAGUCCCAUGCAUUGCAGAAUGACAUACAGGCAAAUUGUCUCCAUGUUAGCCGUUAUUUGCUUUACCAUAAUGUGCGUCAGUGCCGACCAGCUUGUUAUAAUGUUAUGACAGUAUUUGAUAUGUAGUACCUGUUGUUUAUAGUGUCGCCGCAGUCUUAGUAAAAAAAGUAGAAUUUUAGUGAUAUUUUAGUAGUUUUAUAUAUUUUUUUAAAUGCGUCUUUUAACUGCUAUGGUCAGUAAUCAAAAACACACAAUCCCAGACACUAAUAUUUAUUAUCACAAUACUUCAUGGUAGAUACAUCUUUGUACAAAAAUAAUUUGAGAAUGUAUAAUUUAUAAUGACAUACUCAAGUGUUGGCAUGGUGGUUUAGGACCUUGUAACUCUCUAUGCAAUGAUUAUUAGUCUGUUGACUUUGCUUAACAUCAUCUCAAUAAGUGUUACUGAGAACAGGUGUGAUUCACUACAAAACAUUGCUAAUUCUUAAUGACAUUGUACAGAAAAAUGGAGCACUACCAGGUGUAAUUUGAACAGGAUGGCAUCAACAUAUUAAGUCUUGCAAUCACACCACAGUGUAUAAUAUAGUAACACAUAAGUAACUGUGAUGCUCCACGGACACUGGCAGAAGGAAACAGUGAAUCUUGAAACUUGAACACUGAAAUUUUUAAAUGACAUUAGCACAUUGUUGUCCAUUGGUUAAGGAUGACUAGGCUUCCAGUAGAUCUAGAUGUCAUACUUUCUACACCGUUACCAAACACAGCACCGUCCACAAAGGGAGUAGGGUCUAUGGAGUAAUUUCAAUACUUAUAUUUUGCUUUAACAUCAUCAAGGGUACCUACCUUUACCUAACCAAUUCUUAUUAAAUACUCAACAUCUUUUAAAACUCUCCUAUCCUUAUCACUUGCCUAAUUGUUUGCAAGUGUAGUUAGUGAAAUUACUUCUAUCACCAUCACCUGCCAUGACUGCUUGUAGCUACCUUUUGUUAAAUUUGCUGAAAGUUGUUCAAAAUACUGAUUACUGAUGUGUACUUUAUAUAAAUAAUUAUUUCUCUGGCAUAUAUAGUUUG
Molecule: unclassified non-coding RNA, 3941 nt
Filed under: Portunus trituberculatus (swimming crab)
Lineage: Eukaryota; Metazoa; Arthropoda; Malacostraca; Decapoda; Portunidae
Description: uncharacterized LOC123504325, transcript variant X1
Source: RNAcentral